GUCCACGCCCUAAACGAUGAAUACUCGCUGUUAGCGAUACACAGUUAGCGGCUAAGCGAAAGCGUUAAGUAUUCCACCUGGGGAGUACGGUCGCAAGAUUGAAACUCAAAGGAAUUGACGGGGGCCCGCACAAGCGGAGGAGCAUGUGGUUUAAUUCGAUGAUACGCGAGGAACCUUACCCGGGCUUGAAAGUUAGUGAAUCAUUUAGAGAUAGAUGAGUGAGCAAUCACACGAAACUAGGUGCUGCAUGGCUGUCGU
This 258-nucleotide ribosomal RNA is filed under the name uncultured bacterium. RNAcentral describes it as "partial 16S ribosomal RNA". It matches the Rfam family "Bacterial small subunit ribosomal RNA", at positions 793 to 1055 of the family's 1533-position model. The record is from RNAcentral.